GGGACACGUGGUAUCCUGUCUGAAUAUGGGGGGACCAUCCUCCAAGGCUAAAUACUCCUGACUGACCGAUAGUGAACCAGUACCGUGAGGGAAAGGCGAAAAGAACCCCGGCGAGGGGAGUGAAAAAGAACCUGAAACCGUGUACGUACAAGCAGUGGGAGCACCUUCGGGUGUGACUGCGUACCUUUUGUAUAAUGGGUCAGCGACUUAUAUUCUGUAGCAAGGUUAACCGUAUAGGGGAGCCGCAGGGAAACCGAGUCUUAACUGGGCGUUAAGUUGCAGGGUAUAGACCCGAAACCCGGUGAUCUAGCCAUGGGCAGGUUGAAGGUUGGGUAACACUAACUGGAGGACCGAACCGACUAAUGUUGAAAAAUUAGCGGAUGACUUGUGGCUGGGGGUGAAAGGCCAAUCAAACCGGGAGAUAGCUGGUUCUCCCCGAAAGCUAUUUAGGUAGCGCCUCGUGAAUUCAUCUUCGGGGGUAGAGCACUGUUUCGGCUAGGGGGUCAUCCCGACUUACCAACCCGAUGCAAACUACGAAUACCGAAGAAUGUUAUCACGGGAGACACACGGCGGGUGCUAACGUCCGUCGUGAAGAGGGAAACAACCCAGACCGCCAGCUAAGGUCCCAAAGUCAUGGUUAAGUGGGAAACGAUGUGGGAAGGCACAGACAGCCAGGAUGUUGGCUUAGAAGCAGCCAUCAUUUAAAGAAAGCGUAAUAGCUCACUGGUCGAGUCGGCCUGCGCGGAAGAUGUAACGGGGCUAAACCAUGCACCGAAGCUGCGGCAGCGACACUAUGUGUUGUUGGGUAGGGGAGCGUUCUGUAAGCCUGCGAAGGUGACCUGUGAGGGUUGCUGGAGGUAUCAGAAGUGCGAAUGCUGACAUAAGUAACGAUAAAGCGGGUGAAAAGCCCGCUCGCCGGAAGACCAAGGGUUCCUGUCCAACGUUAAUCGGGGCAGGGUGAGUC
RNAcentral lists this ribosomal RNA (964 nucleotides) under Klebsiella pneumoniae. Its description in RNAcentral is "partial 23S ribosomal RNA". It matches the Rfam family "Bacterial large subunit ribosomal RNA", at positions 419 to 1385 of the family's 2925-position model. The record is from RNAcentral. Lineage: Bacteria; Pseudomonadati; Pseudomonadota; Gammaproteobacteria; Enterobacterales; Enterobacteriaceae.